RNAcentral lists this transfer RNA (68 nucleotides) under Trichophyton mentagrophytes. Its description in RNAcentral is "tRNA-Asn". It matches the Rfam family "tRNA". Rfam says of the family: Transfer RNA (tRNA) molecules are approximately 80 nucleotides in length. The record is from RNAcentral. Lineage: Eukaryota; Fungi; Ascomycota; Eurotiomycetes; Onygenales; Arthrodermataceae.
GCUCUUAUAGCUCAACGGUAGAGCAAAAUACUAAUAUUUGUAUAGAUGUUCGAUUCAUCUUGAGGGCU